Molecule: long non-coding RNA, 441 nt
Organism: Bactrocera dorsalis (oriental fruit fly)
Lineage: Eukaryota; Metazoa; Arthropoda; Insecta; Diptera; Tephritidae
Exons: 3
Source: RefSeq, a predicted model, not a curated record
GCGCGUUGAAAUUUUAUCUUUUUCAUCAGAAAGCACAACGCCCGGAUCAGGAUCAACAGAAUCCAUUUCUUCUAGUUUUCUUGGUGCGGUUAAUGAUUUAAAUGAAAUUUCGUUAUUAGGAAUUUUAAAAUCUAACGUGAAUGGAAAUGCUGUUUUAAAUUACUUUGAAAAUAAUCAAAGUUUAUCAACAAAGACUCGGAAACUUUUAUGUUCCUCGAUCACGGAAUACUUAAUUUAUAACAAAAUUAAGCCAACAUGAUUUUAUUUUUCGAAUUUAGCGGACAAAAUUAUACAACUUUUCCCAAAGGAAUCUAAGGAUACUUACUACUUAUACAAAAAGUGUAAAAAGCCAAGUGGCAAUUUAUACGCGCACUACCACAAUAGCAUUUACAAACUACGAAAAGCCCAAGUUUCUGUUAAUCCUGAACCAGCAAAACUGCG